RNAcentral lists this ribosomal RNA (207 nucleotides) under uncultured bacterium. RNAcentral describes it as "partial 16S ribosomal RNA". It matches the Rfam family "Bacterial small subunit ribosomal RNA", at positions 524 to 727 of the family's 1533-position model. The record is from RNAcentral.
UACGUAGGGUGCGAGCGUUGUCCGGAAUUAUUGGGCGUAAAGAGCUCGUAGGCGGCUUGUCGCGUCGAAUGUGAAAACUUGGGGCUCAACCCUAAGCCUGCAUUCGAUACGGGCAGGCUAGAGUUCGGUAGGGGAGACUGGAAUUCCUGGUGGUAGCGGUGAAAAUGCGCAGAUAAUCAGGAGGAACACCGGUGGCGAAGGCGGGUC